RNAcentral lists this transfer RNA (66 nucleotides) under Varicospira cancellata. RNAcentral describes it as "tRNA-Cys". Lineage: Eukaryota; Metazoa; Mollusca; Gastropoda; Littorinimorpha; Rostellariidae. The record is from RNAcentral.
CCCACUAUAGUUUAUAAUUAAAACGCUAAAUUGCAAAUUUGGUAAAGGAGUAAUUUCCUAGUGUGU